UCCUCAGACUCUCUCCUCUCUCAACUCUCAACCCUAGGAUAUAGCCUCCGCCACCGCCGUAAGGAGAGACUCAGUGCUACCGCCGUCCAUUGUGCUCAGGGGCCACCGUCACAGGGAGUGAAAAACUGCCAUCGUUCGCUGCGUUGUAGUCGUGCUCUAAGUCUCCCCCUGUUCACUCUCACAGUCUCACCAAUCGCAGCUUCUUCUUCGAGCUCGGUGUCUGACGUUGUCUUCUUCUACUCAGCCCCACUUCAUAUGGCUUCCCGUGGUGGCUCCGUGGACUGUGAUAACUAAGAAGAUUAUAGCUGUUGUAGAAACUAUUAGAAGCACCAAAACCCCAACAACUAAUGCUACAUUGCUACUACAGGAAUAGGUCUCCAACGGCGCAGCAGCAGCAGCACCCACUCUCUCCCUCGUCCCUCCCAUCACCCUCGAGCUAGUCGUUCCUCUCAACGCCGGCCAUCUCAGUCCCUCCCUUUCGUUCAGCCGCCGGACUGAUCUUGACGCCGUCGCAAGUUGGAGCUUCGAAGCUCACUCGGUCCCUCACUCCUGCUCGUGCAGCUAACGUCUCAGACUCUCAGCAGUGGAAGCACAGUCGCCGGGCUCGCCUCCUGCCUCCAUCGCGAAGCUCUCUUCCACCGUCGCCGGCGCCAUCUCUGUUCCUCCGUCGCAAGCUCUGUUCCUGCCUCCGUCGCCAGCUCUGUUCUAUGCUUCAUUGCUUCUAGCUUCUAGGGAAGAUGAAUAACUGGUAGUGGUUGUAACGGAAGCAAUUUAACUAACUUCUUUCAAUGGAAUCUCCUCUCUCUCUUGAAUUCUGGAAACAGCAUCAUGGGUUUGCUUAAGCUAAGGCUUAAUUAUAAUGCUUCUUCUGCUGCUAUUCACUCUCCUUUCUCUUUCAACAAUCACUCAUCUAUCACACUUUCUUCUGAUCAGUUCAAUUCUUUCCUCAUUUCAUUUCAUGUAA
Non-coding RNA from Arachis ipaensis, 964 nucleotides. The record is from RefSeq and is a predicted model, not a curated record. NCBI's taxonomy places the organism in Eukaryota, Viridiplantae, Streptophyta, Magnoliopsida, Fabales, Fabaceae.